This 167-nucleotide non-coding RNA is filed under the name Niallia circulans. RNAcentral describes it as "Bacillus circulans GlcN6P sequence". It matches the Rfam family "glmS glucosamine-6-phosphate activated ribozyme aptamer". From Rfam's summary of the family: This entry contains a glucosamine-6-phosphate activated ribozyme that is found in the mRNA for GlmS. GlmS is an enzyme that uses fructose-6-phosphate and glutamine to generate glucosamine-6-phosphate. The ribozyme catalyses self cleavage of the glmS mRNA that is thought to regulate GlmS activity. Lineage: Bacteria; Bacillati; Bacillota; Bacilli; Caryophanales; Bacillaceae. The record is from Rfam by way of RNAcentral.
UAGGAAUUUGAAGCGCCUGGACUAGUAAUGGACGACACGAAACUAGUUGACGAGGAGGAGGUUUAUCGAUUUUUCGGCGGAUGCCUCCCGGUUGUAUUAGCCAAUCGUAAGUCAUACUUUAAAACAUUAAGGUAACUUAAUGCACAAAGAGUAGGGCAUGCUAAUCA